CCUACGGGUUGCAGCAGUGAGGAAUAUUGGACAAUGGGUGGAAGCCUGACCCAACCAUCCCGCGUGCAGGAAGACGGCCCUAUGGGUUGUAAACUGCUUCUAUCUGGGGAUAAACCUACUUACGUGUAAGUAGCUGAAGGUACCAGAAGAAUAAGCACCGGCUAACUCCGUGCCAGCAGUCGCGGUAAUACGGAGGGUGCAAGCGUUAUCCGGAUUUAUUGGGUUUAAAGGGUCCGUAGGCGGACUAGUAAGUCAGUGGUGAAAUCCGACAGCUUAACUGUCGAACUGCCAUUGAUACUGCUAGUCUUGAGUAAGGUUGAAGUGGCUGGGAUAAGUAGUGUAGCGGUGAAAUGCAUAGAUAUUACUUAGAACACCAAUUGCGAAGGCAGGUCACUAAGUCUUAACUGACGCUGAGGCGCGAAAGCGUGGGGAGCAAACAGGAUUAGAUACCCCGGUAGUC
RNAcentral lists this ribosomal RNA (460 nucleotides) under uncultured bacterium. RNAcentral's name for it is "bacterial SSU rRNA". It matches the Rfam family "Bacterial small subunit ribosomal RNA", at positions 338 to 795 of the family's 1533-position model. The record is from RNAcentral.